Molecule: ribosomal RNA, 435 nt
Filed under: Macaca assamensis (Assam macaque)
Lineage: Eukaryota; Metazoa; Chordata; Mammalia; Primates; Cercopithecidae
Description: partial 12S ribosomal RNA
Rfam family: Bacterial small subunit ribosomal RNA
Source: RNAcentral
CCAGCUACCGCGGUCACACGAUUAGCCCUAGCUAAUAGAGAUCGGCGUAGAGGGUGUUUAAGAUCUAACACAAUAAAGCUAAACUCCAUCUAAACUGUAAAACCCUAGCUAAUGUAAAAUAAACUACGAAAGUGGCUUUAAAACUUCUGAACACACAAUAGCCAAGACCCAAACUGGGAUUAGACACCCUACUAUGCUUGGCCCUAAACCUCAGUAGUUAAAUAACAAAACUACUCGCCAGAACACUACAAGCAACAGCUUAAAACUCAAAGGACUUGACGGUGCUUUACACCCCCUAGAGGAGCCUGUUCCGUAAUCGAUAAACCCCGAUCCACCCCACCCUCUCUUGCUCAGCCUAUAUACCGCCAUCUUCAGCAAACCCUGAUAAAGGCCACAAAGUGAGCGCAAACGCCACCACCGCGAAGACGUUAGGUC